This 169-nucleotide ribosomal RNA is filed under the name uncultured Actinomadura sp. RNAcentral's name for it is "partial 16S ribosomal RNA". It matches the Rfam family "Bacterial small subunit ribosomal RNA", at positions 338 to 524 of the family's 1533-position model. The record is from RNAcentral. Lineage: Bacteria; Bacillati; Actinomycetota; Actinomycetes; Streptosporangiales; Thermomonosporaceae.
CCUACGGGAGGCAGCAGUGGGGAAUAUUGCGCAAUGGGCGGAAGCCUGACGCAGCGACGCCGCGUGAGGGAUGACGGCCUUCGGGUUGUAAACCUCUUUCAGCUCCGACGAAUUUGACGGUAGGAGUAGAAGAAGCACCGGCCAACUACGUGCCAGCAGCCGCGGUAAU